UGGGGAAUAUUGGACAAUGGGCGCAAGCCUGAUCCAGCCAUGCCGCGUGUGUGAAGAAGGCCUUUUGGUUGUAAAGCACUUUAAGCGAGGAGGAGGCUACCGAGAUUAAUACUCUUGGAUAGUGGACGUUACUCGCAGAAUAAGCACCGGCUAACUCUGUG
This 161-nucleotide ribosomal RNA is filed under the name uncultured bacterium. RNAcentral's name for it is "partial 16S ribosomal RNA". It matches the Rfam family "Bacterial small subunit ribosomal RNA", at positions 355 to 507 of the family's 1533-position model. The record is from RNAcentral.